GACAGGACACGGUAAAAAAAUAAAAAAUAAAAAAAAGAAGAAAACCUGUUGGAGAUUGGGACGGAGAUUUAGCUUCCAGCAAGACAAUGACCCUAAACAUACAGCAGGAGCUGCAGUGCAAUAGUUUAUAGAUUAAAAAAUGUUCAUGUGUUAGAAUGACUUAGUCAAAGUCCAGAGAAAAAUUCAGGUUAGCAACUUCGGCAAGACAUGAAAGUUGCUGUUCACAGAUUAUCCAGAUGUGCAAAGAUGGAAUUGCAGUGGAAAAUGGCUCUAAAAGGUAUUGAUGCAAGGGGGCUGAAUGCAAAUGCACGCCACACUUUUUUUUAUUUUAUUUGUUUAAAACUUAAAAACUAUGUCUCAGUUUCCUUCCACUUCACAUUUAUGUGCUACUUCGUGUUGGUUUAUCACAGAAAAUCUAAAUAAAACAUUAACAUUGUAGUUGAAAGGUGUACAAAUAUAUAAAAGUUCAAGGGGUAUUACUUUUGCAUCAAUUUUUAACAACCACCUGCAUUCUCCUGUUUCACUGAUCUGGAUUGUAAUACAAUUCUCAAGACCAAAUGAAUGAAAAGAAGUCAGAAGACUCCUGAGUGAUGCCUUGUCUAUUUUUAUCUCAGGAAAAGUUGCACACACAUGCUCCACUGAGUUUAGUAAAUUUGUGCAUGAAGCAGCAGUGCUGUGUCUGUGAAGGAACAUUGAAACUUACAUGCAGAAUGUCCACCAUUGUUUUUAUGCCUAUGAGCAUCAAAUUAAUGACUAUUUAAUUUUCUCAUUUUAACUGAGAAUGUUUAGUUUUCAUCUAGUCUUUAAAAUUGAAUUGAAAAAUAACAGAUGCUGCAUCUAGAACGUUGUAACGCAUGCGUGUUCAGAUGUGUCACGUAAGUUUGAGAUAAAGUUAUCUGCUUUAGGAGUUAGGAGAACGAUGGCUGAAAUAACAGCUGUGAUGAUGUGCUGCUUUUUCAGACUUGGACAAGUAGCAACAAACACCUCGUCUUAUGAAACGCUUUUCCUUCCAACCAUUUAAUCACCUGACUGUAAACAUUCUGGAAGCAAUUUCUUCAUUUUAAGUUUCCUCUAAGUCUGUCUAUAAUUCGUAGACAGUGUGAAACUGUAUGAUUUAAUAUUUCUAAAUAAUUAUUGCACAACUUUUCUGCUCCAGCGACUUUAUAAAAGAGAACUUGAGCUGUCGGACAGGAACUCAACAGCUUCUCUGCUCGUCUUUGAGAGAACCCGCUGAAGGUCAGAUCACCAUUAUCAUGCUGAAGGUUGCACUUAUUCUCGGAUGCCUCCUGAGCCUUAUCAUGGCUCAACCUGUGGAGCGAGAGCGACUUGUUCGAUCCAGUUCCAACUCCAAUGAGGGAUAUAGAUAUGGAAAUGGCAUGAUGAACCCUUUGACGAAUAUUGAAGCAAUCCUUGAGAACCAGCUUUUUGCCGCCAUUUUGCAAAAGUUUAUAACAGGUUAAUGAUUACAGCUGAAAUGUGACAAAAGAAACAAAAAGUGAGUGCAAACUAACAUUUUAUUUGUGAAAUAGUAACUAAUGUAUUCAAUGUGCUUUCACAUUAUGAGCAUUCAUUGUUCCCCUCAUUUCAGAUUCUCGUGACUUUUUCAACGGGACGUCCUUCCACAUGGACCGUGGAUCAAAGCUUGAUAUUGUUUCUAAAAUCUAAUAAAGUUCAUAAACAAAAAUAAAUGCUUUUUGGUGACAUUUUGAUACAAAUAGAUUUUAGCAUGCAGGUAUUGUGAUGAAACUCAUUCAAGCAAAGGUGUCAAGUAAUAAAGUACCAGUGGCUAAAUAAAUAAAUAAAUAAAUAAAUAAAUAAAUAAAUAAAGUACCACUACCUUACUUCAAAAAAAGAAGAAAUGUUCUGGUUUCGAUUCUGUACUCUGAAACACAAUAAAACCAAAAAACUGAUGAACCUUCAUCUGUGUCUCCUGAGGGAACCAAUUUAGUGGAGCCAGGAGAUUGGGUUCUGAUAAAUAGCAUCAAAAGGAAACACUGGCAUUCUCCUAAGGGCCUUUUCAGGUUUUGCUGAUCACUCCCACUGCAUGUAAAAUAGCAGAACGACCAACUUGGAUUCAUUUAAGUCACUGUAAACGUGUGGUGGCAAAACAAGCAGACACCUAAGGAUGCUGCUGAUACUACUUACCCUGUCUGUGGGAAUAACUGACUCAUUUCACACCCCAGUGUCUUACUAUUAUGCAAAUACAGAAAAACAGACCCCGCUGUUAUCUAAUUUCUCAAAGCCUUGCAUGGAACAGAGGCAAGGAAAUUCUCCUGAUCCAUAUUUCUGUUACAAUGGGACCAGUACAGAUGCCACGGUUUUGUUUAACCUGGCUGACAUAACUGUAGGAGGCUAUAGAGGGAACAUCUGCUGGUGGUGUGGAGACAACAACCUGACAAAUUACCUAUGAAUGUCACUGGAACCUGUGCUUUGGUAUCAUUGCUGUUACCUGAUCUGGAUCCACUGAUUUCCCACUUAUCUAUUCACUCUCUCUCUUCCUUUACAUUUUUUAAUCACAAUUGUCUAUUUUUUGCUCAUUUUUAAUAUAUUUUUAAUAAUUUUCAAAAUUCUUUUUUAUAUUUUUACAUUUUGUUUUUGUGAAGCGCCUCGUGAAUUUAAUCUUGAGAGGCGCUAUAGAAAUGAUAUUUUCUUCUUCUUCUUCUUCUUCUUCUUCUUCUUCUUCUUCUUCAC
Nothobranchius furzeri (turquoise killifish) is the source of this 2691-nucleotide long non-coding RNA. RefSeq lists it as uncharacterized. NCBI's taxonomy places the organism in Eukaryota, Metazoa, Chordata, Actinopteri, Cyprinodontiformes, Nothobranchiidae. The record is from RefSeq and is a predicted model, not a curated record.